GUAAAGAGAUGUUUUUAUUUUACUUUACACCGGGUCCUCUCUCUCUGCCAGCACAGCUCAGUGUUGGCUGUGUGCUCGGGCUCCUGCCACCGGCGGCCUCAUCUUCUUCUUCUUCUUCUCUCCUGCUCUCGCUUAUCACU
Caenorhabditis elegans is the source of this 140-nucleotide non-coding RNA. The record is from Ensembl. Lineage: Eukaryota; Metazoa; Nematoda; Chromadorea; Rhabditida; Rhabditidae.